Molecule: long non-coding RNA, 632 nt
Organism: Hyla sarda
Lineage: Eukaryota; Metazoa; Chordata; Amphibia; Anura; Hylidae
Exons: 4
Source: RefSeq, a predicted model, not a curated record
AAAAAAACUGCUAUGUUUUUCUAAUUUUAUUACUUUGAUUCCUGAAUGGAGUGAAAUGUGGAAUUUCUCUUUUUAUUUUCCAGGACGGUUGAGAAAAUAUUCUGCAGUGACAUAUACUCAAUCCUUGCAGGGUAUUACAUCAUUGGGAAUGAUGUGCGCACUGUCACGCGCUGGUGUCUCCAGAAUCUUAUAAACAAAGGAGAUGUUUGUGAGGACUUUGGAUGCAUUUUAUGGCCCAGUGCAUCUUAUAGUCUGAAGAAUACAGUACUUCUUUCUACUAUACUUUUCCAAAGUGACUUCCAGGGACCCUUAGCAAUCUGUGUCUUUGUAGACCUCCAAUUGGGCCAGAUGACCGUGUCCUGCUGAAAACCAUCCUACACUCUGCCAUCUACUACCAUAGCCAUCAGAUCAGAGAAGAGGGGCAAGAGGAGGACUCACAACACCGCAGUCUGCAUGGCUGAAACAGCAUCAACACCAGGAAUCAUGCAUUGCUAUCUGUACUGUGUUUUCUAUACCCCCUCCUUUAAACAAUGAUCAUCUGAAUUCUUUUAAAAGGUCCUGACCCUUUCCAUGCAAUAGGACCUGCAUGACACAUAUAAUGCAUAAGGUUAGUAUAUGUGUUGUGUGCUACA